Molecule: transfer RNA, 77 nt
Filed under: Fodinisporobacter ferrooxydans
Lineage: Bacteria; Bacillati; Bacillota; Bacilli; Caryophanales; Alicyclobacillaceae
Description: Alicyclobacillaceae bacterium MYW30-H2 tRNA-Pro
Rfam family: tRNA
About the family: Transfer RNA (tRNA) molecules are approximately 80 nucleotides in length.
Source: RNAcentral
CGGAGCAUAGCGCAGCUUGGUAGCGCGCUUGGCUUGGGACCAAGAGGUCGGGGGUUCGAAUCCCUCUGCUCCGACCA